RNAcentral lists this ribosomal RNA (1484 nucleotides) under Callicentrus sp. NYSM 97-02-19-45. Its description in RNAcentral is "SSU rRNA". It matches the Rfam family "Eukaryotic small subunit ribosomal RNA", at positions 387 to 1795 of the family's 1831-position model. Lineage: Eukaryota; Metazoa; Arthropoda; Insecta; Hemiptera; Membracidae. The record is from RNAcentral.
AGAGGAAGCCUAAAAAACGGCUACCACAUCAAAGAAAGGCAACAGGCGCGCAAAUUACCCACUCCCGGCACGGGGAGGUAGUGCGAAAAAUAACAAAACGGGACUCAUCCGAGGCCCCGUAAUCGGAAUGAGUACACUUUAAAUCCUUUAACGAGUACCAAUUGGAGGGCAAGUCUGGUGCCAGCAGCCGCGGUAAUUCCAGCUCCAAUAGAGUAUAUUAGAGUUGUUGCGGUUAAAAAGCUCGUAGUUGGAUCUGUGUCUAACGGCGUCGGUUCACCGCUCGCGGUGUAACUGGCGCGCCGGUUGGACGUCCUGCCGGUGGCGGUCCGGGCUUUCGGGCAUGUGUAGGUGUUACUAACUCCGAAGCAUCCCGAUUGUUCCGGCCGCCGAUCCAAUCCCGCCGCGGUGCUCUUAACUGAGUGUCGAGGUGGGCCGGCACGUUUACUUUGAACAAAUUAGAGUGCUUAAAGCAGGCUGAUUUACGCCUGAAUACUGUGUGCAUGGAAUAAUGGAAUAGGACUUCGGUUCUAUUUUGUUGGUUUUAAGAAUCCGAAGUAAUGAUUAAUAGGGACAGGCGGGGGCAUUCGUAUUGCGACGUUAGAGGUGAAAUUCUUGGAUCGUCGCAAGACGUACCUAAGCGAAAGCAUUUGCCAAGUAUGUCCUCGUUAAUCAAGAACGAAAGUUAGAGGUUCGAAGGCGAUCAGAUACCGCCCUAGUUCUAACCAUAAACGAUGCCAGCCAGCGAUCCGCCAAUGUUUCUCCGAUGACUUGGCGGGCAGCUUCCGGGAAACCAAAGCUUUUGGGUUCCGGGGGAAGUAUGGUUGCAAAGCUGAAACUUAAAGGAAUUGACGGAAGGGCACCACCAGGAGUGGAGCCUGCGGCUUAAUUUGACUCAACACGGGAAACCUCACCAGGCCCGGACACUGGAAGGAUUGACAGAUUGAUAGCUCUUUCUUGAUUCAGUGGGUGGUGGUGCAUGGCCGUUCUUAGUUGGUGGAGCGAUUUGUCUGGUUAAUUCCGAUAACGAACGAGACUCUAGCCUAUUAACUAGGCGUUCCCGGUAUCCACAAUAGUGCUACCGGCGAAUAAAUUUCUUCUUAAAGGGACAGGCGGCUUCUAGCCGCACGAGACUGAGCAAUAACAGGUCUGUGAUGCCCUUAGAUGUCCUGGGCCGCACGCGCGCUACACUGAAGGAAUCAGCGUGUCUCCCCUGGCCGAAAGGUCCGGGUAACCCGUUGAACCUCCUUCGUGCUAGGGAUUGGGGCUUGCAAUUGUUCCCCAUGAACGAGGAAUUCCCAGUAAGCGCGAGUCAUAAGCUCGCGUUGAUUACGUCCCUGCCCUUUGUACACACCGCCCGUCGCUACUACCGAUUGAAUGAUUUAGUGAGGUCUUCGGACUGGUGCGCGGUGGCCGCCUCGUGUGGUCACCGAUGUUGCCGGGAAGAUGACCAAACUUGAUCAUUUAGAGGAAGUAAAAGUCGUAAC